GGAGUUUCAAAAGUUUUAACUUCAGAGCAGUCAUUAGACUCAUAAUCAAGAAUCACUGGGGAAUCAGACGGAUGAACAUGAGACUUACCCAGGCGACAAUGUUUCAUAUUAGAUGUCGCAACACUUGUCAGUUUGACUGUAUUCGCACUUCGAGUCACUGGUUUGCGCAAAUAGGCUUGUUUGACUGCAAUAUGUUUGCGUGGCCGUCU
Molecule: unclassified non-coding RNA, 209 nt
Filed under: Hevea brasiliensis (rubber tree)
Lineage: Eukaryota; Viridiplantae; Streptophyta; Magnoliopsida; Malpighiales; Euphorbiaceae
Source: RNAcentral